UGUAGCUAAUACCGUAUAUUCCAGUAAUGGGAAAGAUUUAUCGCUAUAAGAUUGGCCCGCGCAAGAUUAGCUUGUUGGUGAGGUAAAAGCUCACCAAGGCUUCGAUCUUUAGCUGGUUUGAGAGGAUGAUCAGCCACACUGGGACUGAGACACGGCCCAGACUCCUACGGGAGGCAGCAGUAGGGAAUAUUGGACAAUGGGGGCAACCCUGAUCCAGCAAUGCAGCGUGAGUGACGAAGGCCUUAGGGUUGUAAAACUCUUUCAUCGGUGAGGAUAAUGACAGUAGCCGAAGAAGAAGGACCGGCUAAUUCCGUGCCAGCAGCCGCGGUAAUACGGAAGGUCCUAGCGUUGUUCGGAAUUACUGGGCGUAAAGCGCAUGUAGGCGGAACAGAAAGUUAGAAGUGAAAUCCCUGGGCUCAACCUAGGAAUUGCUUUUAAAACUUCUGUUCUGGAAUUCAGGAGAGGAAAAUGGAAUUUCCAGUGUAGAGGUGAAAUUCGUAGAUAUUGGAAGGAACACCAGUGGCGAAGGCGAUUUUCUGGACUGAUAUUGACGCUGAGAUGCGAAGGCAUGGGUAGCAAACGGGAUUAGAUACCCCGGUAGUCCAUGCAGUAAACGAUGGGUGCUAGUCGUCGGACUUAUGUUCGGUGUCGUAGCUAACGCGUUAAGCACCCCGCCUGGGGAGUACGGUCGCAAGAUUAAAACUCAAAUAAAUUGACGGGGACCCGCACAAGCAGUGGAGCAUGUGGUUUAAUUCGACGCAACGCGAAGAACCUUACCAGCUUUUGACAUUGCUAAGUCGCGAGUCUUAGAGAUAAGACUCUUCAGUUCGGCUGGACUUAGUACAGGUGCUGCAUGGCUGUCGUCAGCUCGUGUCGUGAGAU
This 882-nucleotide ribosomal RNA is filed under the name marine metagenome. RNAcentral's name for it is "bacterial SSU rRNA". It matches the Rfam family "Bacterial small subunit ribosomal RNA", at positions 158 to 1073 of the family's 1533-position model. The record is from RNAcentral.